Molecule: ribosomal RNA, 698 nt
Filed under: uncultured bacterium
Lineage: Bacteria
Description: bacterial SSU rRNA
Rfam family: Bacterial small subunit ribosomal RNA
Source: RNAcentral
AGAGUUUGAUCCUGGCUCAGAACGAACGCUGGCGGCGCGCCUAACACAUGCAAGUCGAACGAGAAGGCGUAGCAAUACGCUUGUACAGUGGCGAACGGGUGAGGAACACGUGGGUAACCUACCCUUGAGUGGGGAAUAACCCGCCGAAAGGUGGGCUAAUGCCGCGUACGCUUCUACUUCUUCGGGAGUGGAAGGAAAGCCGUACCGAGGGUACGGCGCUCAAGGAUGGGCUCGCGUCCUAUCAGCUUGUUGGUAGGGUAACGGCCUACCAAGGCAACGACGGGUAGCUGGUCUGAGAGGACGAUCAGCCACACUGGCACUGCGACACGGGCCAGACUCCUACGGGAGGCAGCAGUGAGGAAUAUUGCGCAAUGGGCGAAAGCCUGACGCAGCGACGCCGCGUGGGGGAUGAAGGUCUUCGGAUUGUAAACCCCUUUCGGGAGGGAAGAUGGGACGGGCAACCGUUCGGACGGUACCUCCAGAAGCAGCCACGGCUAACUUCGUGCCAGCAGCCGCGGUAAUACGAAGGUGGCAAGCGUUGUUCGGAUUUACUGGGCGUACAGGGUGCGUAGGCGGUUCGGUAAGCCCUUCGGGAAAACUUCAGGCUCAACCUGGAAAGUUCGGAGGGGACUGCCGGCUAGAGGACGGGAGAAGAGCGCGGAAUUCCGGUGUAGCGGUGAAAUGCGUAAAGAUCGGGA